GGAGAGAUGGCUGAGUGGUUGAAAGCACCGGUCUUGAAAACCGGCGUACGUUAAUAGCGUACCUAGGGUUCAAAUCCCUAGUUCCUCCU
RNAcentral lists this transfer RNA (89 nucleotides) under Vibrio vulnificus. RNAcentral describes it as "tRNA-Ser". It matches the Rfam family "tRNA". From Rfam's summary of the family: Transfer RNA (tRNA) molecules are approximately 80 nucleotides in length. Their secondary structure includes four short double-helical elements and three loops (D, anti-codon, and T loops). The record is from RNAcentral. Lineage: Bacteria; Pseudomonadati; Pseudomonadota; Gammaproteobacteria; Vibrionales; Vibrionaceae.